RNAcentral lists this ribosomal RNA (1338 nucleotides) under metagenome. Its description in RNAcentral is "bacterial LSU rRNA". It matches the Rfam family "Bacterial large subunit ribosomal RNA", at positions 689 to 2025 of the family's 2925-position model. The record is from RNAcentral.
AGGGCGCACAGUCAGUGGGGGUAGACGCGAAACCAAGUGAUCUACACUUGGCCAGGAUGAAGUCCCGGUAACACGGGAUGGAGGUCCGCACCAAUAAGCGUUGAAAAGCUUCUGGAUGAGCCGAGUGUAGGAGUGAAAGGCCAAUCAAACUUGGAGAUAGCUCGUACUCCCCGAAAGGCAUUUAGGUGCCGCGUCGGAUGGUCACCGUGAGAGGUAGAGCGACCGAUAGGACAAGAGGGCUUCACCGCCUAUCGAGUCCUGACGAACUCCGAAUGCUCACGGUCUGCAGUCCGGCAGUAAGGGGGCGGGUGCUAAGGUCCGUCCCCGAGAGGAGAAGAAUCCAGACCGCCGUCUAAGGUCCCGGAGUUCUGCCUGAGUUAGUCUAACGAAGUCUGGUCCCUAUGACAGCUAGGAUGUUGGCUUGGAAGCAGCCAUUCAUUCAAAGAGUGCGUAACAGCUCACUAGUCGAGGGUCCGGGCAUGGAUAAUAAUCGGGUAUAAGGCAGACACCGAAGGCGCGGGAUAGCAAUUAUAAAAGUAUCGGUAGGGGAGCAUACUCACAGCGUCGAAUGGUGUACGUAAGUUAUCCUGGAGCGGUGAGUAAAGCAAAUGUAGGAAUAAGUAACGAUAAGGAGGGUUAGAUUCCCUCCCGCUGUAAGACCAAGGUUUCCCGGGCAAUGCCAAUCAGCCCGGGGUCAGUCGGGUCCUAAGUCUAAGCCGAACGGCGAUGGCGAUGGCAGAGACGGUUAAUAUUCCGUCACUGCCGCAUGGGGCGACGUGGAGACGGAGCAGUGAAACCACCGCGGGGCGACGGAAGUCCCCGUUGAAGAGUGUAGGUGUUGAGGAUGGCAGGCAAAUCCACCAUCCGAGCUGAACUUGACAGUACGGAGUCCUCCUCGGAGGAAUCUGAUAGUGUGGGUAAUCAUACUCCCGAGAAAAUCCGCUAAGCUUAACCCAUGCGGCACCCGUACCGCAAACGGACACACGUGGUCGGGUAGAACAUACUAAGGCGUUGAGAGAUUCAUGGUUAAGGAACUAGGCAAAUUGACCCUGUAACUUCGGGAUAAAGGGUCCUCGUGAUGAGCGAGGCGCAGAGAAUAGGUCCAGGCAACUGUUUAACAAAAACACAGGGCUGUGCAAACUCGAAAGAUGAGGUAUACAGCCUGACACCUGCCCGGUGCCGGAAGGUUAAGAGGAGAUGUCACCAGCAAUGGGAAGCAUUGAAUUGAAGCCCCGGUAAACGGCGGCCGUAACUAUAACGGUCCUAAGGUAGCGAAAUUCCUUGUCGGGUAAGUUCCGACCUGCACGAAUGGUGUAAUGAUCCGGACGCUGUCUCAAC